ACGCAAUAGAUACCCCGGUAGUCCAUGCCGUAAACGUUGGGCACUAGGUGUGGGGGACAUUCCACGUUUUCCGCGCCGUAGCUAAACGCAUUAAGUGCCCCGCCUGGGGAGUACGGCCGCAAGGCUAAAACUCAAAGGAAUUGACGGGGGCCCGCACAAGCGGCGGAGCAUGCGGAUUAAUUCGAUGCAACGCGAAGAACCUUACCAAGGCUUGACAUGAACCGGAAACGUCUGGAAACAGGCGCCCCACUUGUGGUCGGUUUACAGGUGGUGCAUGGUUGUCGUCAGCUCGUGUCGUGAGAUGUUGGGUUAAGUCCCGCAACGAGCGCAACCCUCGUUCCAUGUUGCCAGCGCGUUAGGGCGGGGACUCAUGGGAGACUGCCGGGGUCAACUCGGAGGAAGGUGGGGACGACGUCAAAUCAUCAUGCCCCUUAUGUCUUGGGCUUCACGCAUGCUACAAUGGCCGGUACAAGGGUUGCGAUACUGUGAGGUGGAGCUAAUCCCAAAAAGCCGGUCUCAGUUCGGAUUGGGGGUCUGCAACUCGACCCCAUGAAGUC
Molecule: ribosomal RNA, 557 nt
Filed under: uncultured bacterium
Lineage: Bacteria
Description: bacterial SSU rRNA
Rfam family: Bacterial small subunit ribosomal RNA
Source: RNAcentral